RNAcentral lists this ribosomal RNA (517 nucleotides) under Myrtlemiris sp. BBCRE11msp070. RNAcentral's name for it is "partial 16S ribosomal RNA". It matches the Rfam family "Bacterial large subunit ribosomal RNA", at positions 1810 to 2602 of the family's 2925-position model. Lineage: Eukaryota; Metazoa; Arthropoda; Insecta; Hemiptera; Miridae. The record is from RNAcentral.
AAAACAUGUCCUUUUGUUUAUAUAAAAGGUCUGACCUGCCCUAUGAUUUUUAUUUAAUGGCUGCAGUAUUUUGACUGUACAAAGGUAGCAUAAUCAUUUGUCUUUUAAUUGAAGUCUGGAAUGAAUGGUUUGAUGAAAAAUAUACUUUCUUUAUUUUAUAUAAAAAAUUUAAUUUUUUAGUCAAAAAGCUAAAAUUUUUUUAUAGGACGAGAAGACCCUAUAGAACUUUAUUUUUAUUAAUUUUGUAAUUAGAUUAGGAAAUGUCUUGAUACAUGAUUGAGAAAAUUUUGUUGGGGUGACAGAAAAAAUUAAAUAACUUUUUCUUAUUUAAUCAUUAUUAGUGAAUUUUUGAUCCUUUUUUAGGGAUGGAAGAUUAAGUUACCUUAGGGAUAACAGCGUUAUUGUUUCAGAGAGUUCCUAUCGAUGAAAUAGUUUGCGACCUCGAUGUUGGAUUAUAAUAAGAUGUAGGAGUAGAAUAUUAUGUUCUAGGUCUGUUCGACCUUUAAAUUUUUACAUG